Small nuclear RNA from Dipodomys ordii (Ord's kangaroo rat), 107 nucleotides. Lineage: Eukaryota; Metazoa; Chordata; Mammalia; Rodentia; Heteromyidae. The record is from Ensembl.
GUGUUCGCUUCGGCAACACAUAUACUAAAAUUGGAACAAUAUAGAGAAGGUUAGCAUGGCCCCUGCGCAAGGAUGACACGCAAAUUCGUGAAGCAUUCCAUAUUUUU